RNAcentral lists this ribosomal RNA (507 nucleotides) under uncultured bacterium. Its description in RNAcentral is "partial 16S ribosomal RNA". It matches the Rfam family "Bacterial small subunit ribosomal RNA", at positions 28 to 507 of the family's 1533-position model. The record is from RNAcentral.
GACGAACGCUGGCGGCGUGCCUAAUACAUGCAAGUCGAACGCAUUUUCUUUCACCGUAGCUUGCUACACCGAAAGAAAAUGAGUGGCGAACGGGUGAGUAACACGUGGGUAACCUGCCCAUCAGCGGGGGAUAACACUUGGAAACAGGUGCUAAUACCGCAUAAUUCCAUUUACCGCAUGGUAGAUGGAUGAAAGGCGCUUUUGCGUCACUGAUGGAUGGACCCGCGGUGCAUUAGCUAGUUGGUGGGGUAACGGCCUACCAAGGCUGCGAUGCAUAGCCGACCUGGGAGGGUGAUCGGCCACACUGGGACUGAGACACGGCCCAGACUCCUACGGGAGGCAGCAGUAGGGAAUCUUCGGCAAUGGACGCAAGGCUGACCGAGCAACGCCGCGUGAGUGAAGAAGGUUUUCGGAUCGUAAAACUCUGUUGUUAGAGAAGAACAAGGAUGAGAGUGGAAAGUUCAUCCCUUGACGGUAUCUAACCAGAAAGCCACGGCUAACUACGUG